This 360-nucleotide ribosomal RNA is filed under the name Triticum aestivum (bread wheat). RNAcentral describes it as "partial small subunit ribosomal RNA". Lineage: Eukaryota; Viridiplantae; Streptophyta; Magnoliopsida; Poales; Poaceae. The record is from RNAcentral.
AUGGCCAAGUAUUUUUGGAGUAGUUCUCUUGACAAGAAAGCAAUGCAUUGGGUGUCCUGGAAGGAGCUAGCUACACCCAAGUGCAAGGGCGGGAUGGGGGUCAGAGAUCCGCAUUUUUUUAACCUUGCUAUGCUGGGCAAACACGGAUGGCGUUUCCUCAUCAACCCGAACUCCCUCUGUGCAAGAGUUCUAAAGGGUCGUUACUUUCCCGACACUGAUUUCAUGAAUGCUACUAUACCCAAGUCAGCGUCUGCCACUUGGAGGGCGAUCAUGGCGGGGAGAGAAGCCCUUCGAUCUGGAUUGAUCUUUCGAGUGGGCGAUGGCUCCUCCAUAUCAGUCUGGAACGAUAAGUGGAUCCCA